This 128-nucleotide ribosomal RNA is filed under the name Cladoriella rubrigena. RNAcentral's name for it is "partial 18S ribosomal RNA". Lineage: Eukaryota; Fungi; Ascomycota; Dothideomycetes. The record is from RNAcentral.
GUGGGUGGGUACCGCCCGGUACCCGCUUAAGAUAUAGUCGGGCCUGACGGGGCAACCCGCCGGACGCGAAGCCGCCUCCCGGCUUCGGACCCAACCGUUCCGUAGGUGAACCUGCGGAAGGAUCAUUA